RNAcentral lists this unclassified non-coding RNA (300 nucleotides) under Ballistosporomyces sasicola. RNAcentral describes it as "sequence contains 5.8S rRNA gene". Lineage: Eukaryota; Fungi; Basidiomycota; Agaricostilbomycetes; Agaricostilbales; Chionosphaeraceae. The record is from RNAcentral.
GAACGCACCUUGCGCUCUAGGGUUAUUCCUUAGAGCAUGCUUGUUUGAGUGUCACGUACCCCUCUCCACCCCGCUUGUUUCGACAAGUUGCUCAGGGCUUGGGAUCAUGGACGCUUUGUCGGGACUUUAGUGUUUCGACUGCGCUGAAAUUGAACAAGCUGAAUCCACCUUGCGGCUUGACCUGUUGUUGUAAACUAAAUUCAAUGGGAACGCAAGCGAGGAACGAGCUUACCAGAACCGCCUUUCGAGGCACAGUGCAUUUUGACCUCAAAUCAAGUAGGACUACCCGCUGAACUUAAG